RNAcentral lists this ribosomal RNA (208 nucleotides) under uncultured bacterium. RNAcentral describes it as "partial 16S ribosomal RNA". It matches the Rfam family "Bacterial small subunit ribosomal RNA", at positions 568 to 774 of the family's 1533-position model. The record is from RNAcentral.
CUCGUAGGCGGCUUGGUAAGUCGGCUGUGAAAGUCCGAGGCUCAACCUCGGAACUGCAGUCGAUACUGCCAUAGCUAGAGUCAGGUAGAGGAGAAUGGAAUUCCCGGUGUAGCGGUGGAAUGCGCAGAUAUCGGGAGGAACACCAGUAGCGAAGGCGGUUCUCUGGGCCUGUACUGACGCUGAGGAGCGAAAGCGUGGGUAGCAAACA